GACGAACGCUGGCGGCGUGCUUCAUACAUGCAAGUCGAGCGGGAUCCAUCCAGUGGCAACACUGGUGAAGAUCUAGCGGCGAACGGGUGAGUAACACGUGAGGAACCUGCCCCAGAGACCGGGAUAACCCUCCGAAAGGAGAGCUAAUACCGGAUACCCCCACCGGAUCGCAUGGUCUGGUGAGGAAAUGGAUUCCGCUCUGGGAGGGCCUCGCGGCCUAUCAGCUUGUUGGUGAGGUAACGGCUCACCAAGGCUUCGACGGGUAGCUGGUCUGAGAGGACGGUCAGCCACACUGGGACUGAGACACGGCCCAGACUCCUACGGGAGGCAGCAGUAGGGAAUCUUGCGCAAUGGGCGAAAGCCUGACGCAGCAACGCCGCGUGGGGGAUGAAGGCUUUCGGGUUGUAAACCCCUUUCAGCAGGGACGAUUGUGACGGUACCUGCAGAAGAAGGACCGGCCAACUACGUGCCAGCAGCCGCGGUAAUACGUAGGGUCCGAGCGUUGUCCGGAUUUAUUGGGCGUAAAGAGCUCGUAGGCGGCUCAGUUAGUCGGAUGUGAAAACUCGGGGCUCAACCCCGAGACGCCAUCCGAUACUGCUGUGGCUUGAAUCUGGUAGGGGAGCACGGAAUUCCUGGUGUAGCGGUGAAAUGCGCAGAUAUCAGGAGGAACACCGAUGGCGAAGGCAGUGCUCUGGGCCAGUAUUGACGCUGAGGAGCGAAAGCGUGGGUAGCAAACAGGAUUAGAUACCCUGGUAGUCCACGCCGUAAACGUUGGGCACUAGGUGUGGGUCCCUAUCGACGGGAUCCGUGCCGUAGCUAACGCAUUAAGUGCC
RNAcentral lists this ribosomal RNA (833 nucleotides) under uncultured Actinomycetes bacterium. Its description in RNAcentral is "bacterial SSU rRNA". It matches the Rfam family "Bacterial small subunit ribosomal RNA", at positions 28 to 868 of the family's 1533-position model. The record is from RNAcentral. Lineage: Bacteria; Bacillati; Actinomycetota; Actinomycetes.